ACGUUCGGGUAAUCGCUGCAUAGAUUUAUAUGCAGAGGAAAGUCCAUGCUCGCACGUAGCUGAGAUGCUUGUAGUGUUCGUGCCUGACGAAUUCAUAAGUCAGGGCAGCCCGAGUUCUUUUACUCGGCUGACGGCUGGGAACGCACCUAAGUCCUAUUAGGAUAUGGUGUUAAUACCUAUAAAAGUGCCACAGUGACGUAGUCUUGUGAGAAAUCACUAGAGUGGAACGAGGUAAACCCCUCGAGCGAGAAACCCAAAUUUUGGUAGGGGCAUCUUCUGUUUCCGGAAAUGAACGGACAGAAGGACAGCUGUUUAAGCUGUAGAUAGAUGAUUACCGCCGGAGUACGAGGCGAGAGCCGCAUGUAGUACAAUGGUACAGAACAUGGCUUAUAGAA
This 395-nucleotide RNase P RNA is filed under the name Bacillus oleivorans. RNAcentral's name for it is "Bacterial RNase P class B". It matches the Rfam family "Bacterial RNase P class B". Rfam says of the family: Ribonuclease P (RNase P) is a ubiquitous endoribonuclease, found in archaea, bacteria and eukarya as well as chloroplasts and mitochondria. Its best characterised activity is the generation of mature 5'-ends of tRNAs by cleaving the 5'-leader elements of precursor-tRNAs. Lineage: Bacteria; Bacillati; Bacillota; Bacilli; Caryophanales; Bacillaceae. The record is from Rfam by way of RNAcentral.